RNAcentral lists this ribosomal RNA (972 nucleotides) under Psilocybe apelliculosa. RNAcentral's name for it is "LSU rRNA". It matches the Rfam family "Eukaryotic large subunit ribosomal RNA", at positions 1 to 959 of the family's 3401-position model. Lineage: Eukaryota; Fungi; Basidiomycota; Agaricomycetes; Agaricales; Agrocybaceae. The record is from RNAcentral.
GACCUCAAAUCAGGUAGGACUACCCGCUGAACUUAAGCAUAUCAAUAAGCGGAGGAAAAGAAACUAACAAGGAUUCCCCUAGUAACUGCGAGUGAAGCGGGAAAAGCUCAAAUUUAAAAUCUGGUAGUCUAUGGCUGCCCGAGUUGUAAUCUAGAGAAGUGUUAUCCGCGUUGGACCGUGUACAAGUCUCCUGGAAUGGAGCGUCAUAGAGGGUGAGAAUCCCGUCUUUGACACGGACUACCAGUGCUUUGUGAUGCGCUCUCAAAGAGUCGAGUUGUUUGGGAAUGCAGCUCAAAAUGGGUGGUAAAUUCCAUCUAAAGCUAAAUAUUGGCGAGAGACCGAUAGCGAACAAGUACCGUGAGGGAAAGAUGAAAAGAACUUUGGAAAGAGAGUUAAACAGUACGUGAAAUUGCUGAAAGGGAAACGCUUGAAGUCAGUCGCGUUGUUUGGGGAUCAACCUUGCUUUUGCUGGGUGUACUUUCCAUAUGACGGGUCAGCAUCAAUUUUGACCGUUGGAUAAAGUGUAGAGAAAUGUGGCAUCUUCGGAUGUGUUAUAGUCUCUGCUCGCAUACAACGGUUGGGAUUGAGGAACUCAGUACGCCGCAAGGCCGGGAAUUUAUUCUACGUUCGUACUUAGGAUGCUGGCAUAAUGGCUUUAAUCGACCCGUCUUGAAACACGGACCAAGGAGUCUAACAUGCCUGCGAGUGUUUGGGUGGAAAACCCGAGCGCGUAAUGAAAGUGAAAGUUGAGAUCCCUGUCGUGGGGAGCAUCGACGCCCGGACCAGACCUUUUGUGACGGAUCUGCGGUAGAGCAUGUAUGUUGGGACCCGAAAGAUGGUGAACUAUGCCUGAAUAGGGUGAAGCCAGAGGAAACUCUGGUGGAGGCUCGUAGCGAUUCUGACGUGCAAAUCGAUCGUCAAAUUUGGGUAUAGGGGCGAAAGACUAAUCGAACCAUCUAGUAGCUGGUUCCU